This is a long non-coding RNA of Melopsittacus undulatus (budgerigar), 235 nucleotides long. RefSeq lists it as uncharacterized. Lineage: Eukaryota; Metazoa; Chordata; Aves; Psittaciformes; Psittaculidae. The record is from RefSeq and is a predicted model, not a curated record. The transcript has 3 exons.
GGGAUCUCCUAUUCUACACAAGUGACCAUCAGUACCUACCAAAACAAAGGUCGGCUUUAAGCUCAACCCACCGGUGGAUGGCAAGUUCCUGAAUGAGAACAAACCGGACCCUUGUCAAGCCAGUCCCUUCCCUCUGUGCCACUGACCUGGAGCUAGUGAGAAUGCACAUACAGUUUAGACUCUUGUUGUGGUCUCUUAUUGGAUGCACUUCCUGGCCUUGUGUUUGAUACAGCAA